RNAcentral lists this long non-coding RNA (1016 nucleotides) under Monodelphis domestica (gray short-tailed opossum). RNAcentral describes it as "lncRNA (ENSMODG00000048241.1)". Lineage: Eukaryota; Metazoa; Chordata; Mammalia; Didelphimorphia; Didelphidae. The record is from RNAcentral.
AUUUGCUAUGAAUUUAAAUAUGGUAAUAGAUUGGGGCCUCUGCAUAAUAAAUGUCAUUCUUUUUUUUUGUACAAAAGGCAGAGCUAUAUUCAUUUUUAAAAAUUGAGUUACAUGGCACUCUUUAAUUCUCCCAUGAAUAUAGUAGUUAGACUGAAUGGAACUGCCAUAUUUAAGAAUAGAGAUACUCAUUUAUUUUUCUAUAGAAGGAAUAAGGCUAAAGAUUAGGUGAAUAUGCAAGUGGAUAGGAUCUUUAUGAAAAGUGACAUUGUGCCUGCUCUAAAGGAAUUUGUAGUCUAUAGAAGUUGGGGUAGAUACAAUAAGUAAACAAUUAAACGUGUUAAAGGUAGAAUGUGAUAGGGACAAAGAGAGAUUCUGAGCUCUAAGGAAAUUCUGUGGAGUUCAGCAAUCUAGAAUAGAGUAAAACAUUUUAGUGAUGUCAACUACUUCAGUUUCCACUGUUGAGGAAUUUGUGAUCAUUUAGAUACCUAUUGGACUAAAUUUUGUCUUUGAACUAUUGAUUGAUUUCUUAAGUAAAUUAAUAAUAUAAAUUGAGGGAGGGAUGAAGAAAAUAAAUGAUAUUGUUAAACAAUCUAAGUUCUACUUUCAAGAACCUCCAAAUACUUUGAGAAUUUAGUGAUUAAGGAACAAACUAUGUUUCAUUUAAAUCAGCUUUUUCCACAACCUCAAAACAAAUGGCAAAAGUUAUAUAUACUGAUCAGAAGACAUUGUCAUCAGAUUAAAUAUGAGUCAAUCCUUUGAAGGCCAAAAUCAUUUUCCAGGAGACUUUGGUUUAAAUCUCUGGCAGGAGCCGACUCACAUGAGCUGUCAAGCUGAUUGUGAAAUUUUCAUUGGGAGCAUUUAUACUUCAGAAACAGAGGUGAUCCUAGAACCCAAUGAGAGAGAUGUAAGGAGUUGUCUUCCACCGAUCUGGUCUACUAUUGCACAUGUAAGUUAGGAAAAUAUGUCCACAGUCUUUUUAUAAUAAAAACAUAUAUACAUAUUAUUAUAAAGAAACA